This 405-nucleotide ribosomal RNA is filed under the name uncultured bacterium. RNAcentral describes it as "partial 16S ribosomal RNA". It matches the Rfam family "Bacterial small subunit ribosomal RNA", at positions 30 to 526 of the family's 1533-position model. The record is from RNAcentral.
AUUGAACGCUGGCGGCAGGCUUAACACAUGCAAGUCGAACGAGUGGCGGACGGGUGAGUAAUGCUUGGGAAUCUUGCUUAUGGAGGGGGAUAACUACGGGAAACUGUAGCUAAUACCGCGUACCAUAGGAUGAGCCCAAGUGGGAUUAGGUAGUUGGUGAGGGAAAGGGUCCCCAAGCCGACGAUCUCUAGCUGGUCUGAGAGGAUUCCCAUCCACACGGGGACUGAGACACGGCCCAGACUCCUACGUGAGUCAGCAGUGGGGAAUAUUGCGCAAUGGGGGCAACCUGACGCAGCCAUGCCGCGGGAAUGAAGAAGGCCUUCGGGUUGUAAAGUUCUUUCGGUAGCGAGGCGUUAACUACAGAAGAAGCACCGGCUAACGACGUGCCAGCCGCCGCGGUAAUUC